Corvus hawaiiensis (hawaiian crow) is the source of this 744-nucleotide long non-coding RNA. RefSeq lists it as uncharacterized. The transcript is spliced from 5 exons. Lineage: Eukaryota; Metazoa; Chordata; Aves; Passeriformes; Corvidae. The record is from RefSeq and is a predicted model, not a curated record.
UCACUGUCUCAACUCUCAAGACUGUUUAUUCCAUGCUGCUGAAGAAAAUGAUGGUUGGCACCAGGCUUAUGCUGUGUCUGUCCUUUCUCUGACACUCUGCAGUUUGCUAAAGAAGAUUGGCAUGUGGUUUACCCUGGCAAAAACGUUUGCUUGGAAUAUAUGUUGACAUUGACUAGUGGUAUCGGAAAAAACCAAUUCAGCUGCAGCCUGAGUCUUGGGGACCGGAAACAGCUGGAGCCCAACUGCCAUUAUCUCUGCCAGAAACAGAAUGCCUCAUGAGGAAAUGACAACUUGAACGUGACUGCAAGUAGCAAAACAGGGAAAUGCAGCAGUUGCUUCAAAGGGAUGAUUGGACCAGAGAAGGGCACUGUGCACUUGGCUAUAGCUGCUGUCCUGAAAGCUCUGUGAGCCAGAAGGAAAGGUGACACCCAUGGGACCUCAGUAAAUACUCCAAAAUGGUCUGCUUGGGAAAAAAGAAAGGUGUGAGCUUAAAUACAUCUGUACCUGAUGAAAACAGUUUGCAUCUCUUAGAGAGUGGGAAGGGGACUGUGUGAGAUGAAGCCUGCUGUUUGUUGGCAUCUUCUUGUGUGUACCAGGAGAGCAAUGUCAAAACUCAGAACAGAAAAUGUUAAAGUAUGGAUAUCUGGCUUAUUCAGGAUCCUCUUCCUGGCUGGGCUUCUCAGAUCACCAGUUAAAUCAGGCCUUAACAAUGCUAGAAACUGGUGCAGCAACCAGGGAACAUGU